GGGUGUAAUCAUAUUAGCACUAAUGCAUUAGAUCCCAUUAGAACUCUGAAAUUAAGCGUGCUUAGGUGAGAGUAGUACUAGGAUGGUGACCUCCUAGGAAGUCCUUGUAUUGCACCCC
RNAcentral lists this ribosomal RNA (118 nucleotides) under Nelumbo nucifera (sacred lotus). The record is from RNAcentral. Lineage: Eukaryota; Viridiplantae; Streptophyta; Magnoliopsida; Proteales; Nelumbonaceae.